Molecule: long non-coding RNA, 758 nt
Organism: Pan troglodytes (chimpanzee)
Lineage: Eukaryota; Metazoa; Chordata; Mammalia; Primates; Hominidae
Gene: MTLN
Product: mitoregulin
Exons: 2
Source: RefSeq, marked validated
GUUACCAGAAAAUUUAAAGUUACGCCAGUCACUCCCAUUCUAUUGCUGAGAGAAAAUACAGAGCGGUGAAGAGCUUACAGUCGGGUGAGCAAGAUACGCCCCCAAUGUUAGCUAAUGAUGUAAGGCAUCAACAAGAAAUGUUGUGGGGGUUCAGGAAAGUGGAAGGUGGGGUCGUCCAAAGGCUGGGAAAGUCUUCAGUUGAAGGCGAGACAGAUGGGACUAUUAGUGAGUUUCGAGAGAACCAACGCCUCGCCGCCUUCGCUUCAUUUUUGUCUCACGCCCGACCCUUGAACGCGCGGCGCCUUUUGACCCCGCCGCCGCGCCGUAGACCGCGCUGCACGCCGGCGGCAGCCAUGGCGGAUGUGUCAGAGAGGACACUGCAGUUGUCCGUGCUAGUAGCCUUCGCUUCUGGAGUACUCCUGGGCUGGCAGGCGAACCGACUGCGGAGGCGCUACUUGGACUGGAGGAAAAGGAGGCUGCAGGACAAGCUGGCGGCGACGCAGAAGAAGCUGGACCUGGCCUGAGACUCUGCGCCUUCCGCCCCAUUCUAUCCCCCUCAUGGCCACCUUGCCAUGUCCGCGCCGGAGCCCCGGUCCGCCGGCGCCCAGAACCAGGCUUGCCACACAGUCCCCGCCUGCCAUGGCCGGCUCUUCCUGGAGUGUUGCUUGUUGAAGAUGCAUAUAGACUACCGGAAAGAAAUGACUUCUUCUUGCACUUUAUGAAUCAAUUUUAUUUUUAAAAUAAAAAAAUUAAACAUC